RNAcentral lists this ribosomal RNA (431 nucleotides) under uncultured Sphingomonadaceae bacterium. Its description in RNAcentral is "bacterial SSU rRNA". It matches the Rfam family "Bacterial small subunit ribosomal RNA", at positions 29 to 505 of the family's 1533-position model. The record is from RNAcentral. Lineage: Bacteria; Pseudomonadati; Pseudomonadota; Alphaproteobacteria; Sphingomonadales; Sphingomonadaceae.
AACGAACGCUGGCGGCAUGCCUAACACAUGCAAGUCGAACGAGACCUUCGGGUCUAGUGGCGCACGGGUGCGUAACGCGUGGGAAUCUGCCCUUGGGUUCGGAAUAACUCAGAGAAAUUUGAGCUAAUACCGGAUGAUGACGUAAGUCCAAAGAUUUAUCGCCCAGGGAUGAGCCCGCGUAAGAUUAGGUAGUUGGUGGGGUAAAGGCCUACCAAGCCGACGAUCUUUAGCUGGUCUGAGAGGAUGAUCAGCCACACUGGGACUGAGACACGGCCCAGACUCCUACGGGAGGCAGCAGUGGGGAAUAUUGGACAAUGGGCGAAAGCCUGAUCCAGCAAUGCCGCGUGAGUGAUGAAGGCCUUAGGGUUGUAAAGCUCUUUUACCCGGGAAGAUAAUGACUGUACCGGGAGAAUAAGCCCCGGCUAACUCCG